UCCGUAGCUCAGCUGAUAAGAGCAUGAGUUUCUUAACCCCAGGGUCCUGGGUUUGAGACCCACGUUGGGCAAAA
This is a non-coding RNA of Podarcis lilfordi (Lilford's wall lizard), 74 nucleotides long. Lineage: Eukaryota; Metazoa; Chordata; Lepidosauria; Squamata; Lacertidae. The record is from the annotation of a GenBank genome assembly.